RNAcentral lists this long non-coding RNA (312 nucleotides) under Callithrix jacchus (white-tufted-ear marmoset). RNAcentral's name for it is "lncRNA (ENSCJAG00000079213.1)". Lineage: Eukaryota; Metazoa; Chordata; Mammalia; Primates; Cebidae. The record is from RNAcentral.
UGUGUCUUGUGUUCAGGACUGUAGGAGGUGCAGUUUCAACCCUGAUACCCACUUUGUGCAGGGUUUGCUAGAACUAGGAUGUCAGAAAACCAUUAAGGCAGGAUCGAUCUACAAGAGGAACAGCUUUUCUCUUGCCCCAGCCAUGUGGCUCUGCUGGCCCUGCCCACCUGGACACACCUGAUUAUCCCAGCAUAAGCAGCUGACAAGGCUGAACCAAGGCGUCUGUGUCUGGGCGUCUUCCGACUUUGCACCAGGACAAUGUUUGGCAGUGUCUCUCUUCAGUGCUGAGGUGGUCAGAUGGAAAGCCCAGAA